UUCCACCCGUUUCAGAGUUUAUAAUGGGUGUGUAUGGGACGGAAUGUUGGGGCUAGAGUGAGAGAGCUCAACUGCUAGAGUGAGAGGAGCAAAAAAAUUAAUCUUAAAAUCUUUUUUAAAACUGCUGCUGUGUCCGCAGCGUUUGCUCUACAGCCGCCAUUUUACCCUCAAAACGUAGCCAUCGCUGUCCUCUUUCAUCCAAUGUGUUUACUAUUGUCCUAGGUGUUAUGGUUCUUUCAUAAAUGUCACCAAUGCACAGCCUCCUCCCUCCAACUCUUCCAUAGACUCUAAUGUUAAAAUGGCUCAGAAGGUUCGUUUGAAAAUCAGAAGAGCAUGGUGUCUUUCCACUGUCACCACGUCCAUAUAAUAAGCUCCACAGGCAUGAAAACUGAGAAUUAGGUAGACUAGACAUUGCUGUCGCUCACGGUGAAAGAAUUUUGUCAAUACGACUUUUACUUUUCAUUUGGGAACGAUUUGUUUCGGCCUGACUUUUCUGUUCAUUUUAAGCAGCAAAAGUGAGGCGCAUGUCUGUGUACGUGUGUAUGGAGCCAUUGGGUGCGGUCACUAUAGCAACCAGGCUCACACCUGCCUGCUUAACGAGCUCUGCCUGCCACUGUACCAAGAUUCAUCUUAAGCACUUCUCUUUCAACUGCUGCUGUGUCCACAGUAUUACAGCCAUCAUUUUACCCUCAAAUUGUUGCCAUUAUUGUUCUCUUUCCAACACCGUAUCUUUCAAAGCUCAGGCAUUUAAACUUUUUAAAUUGUGUGGAUCAAAGUGGAGGGAUCACAUUUGAGUCAUUCAGUGAUUCAAAGAAUAUGACCUUUUAAUAUUCAUUCAGAUGUUUUCUGACUCUAAAUGUUCUUUUCUCAUUUCUUAGGGUUUUCUAAUUUACAUUUAAAACAUUUUCAGUUUUUUUCCAACUCCUUCUUCUGUGUAACCUUCAGCUUUUAGCAGUUCAGCACCUUUGUUUUCAGGUUAAAUUCGUUUUUUUUUUUUGUUUUUUUUAAUCUCAUUCAAUAUUUUUAACUCAAAAUUCAGCAAUUAAUUCAUUUCAGUGCAUACAUUCAGAUUCAAGCAUUCACACUGCAGUUUCUUCAGAAAAUGCACUUUCUAGUUAUUAUUCCAUAUUCCGUACGUUUUUUGGCAUCUAACUCCUUCAAAACCGUUCAACUUAGAAAAACCAUUCAAACAUCGUUAGAUUCCUAUUAUUUUGGACAUGACUGCUUCUAUUUUUCUCAUUUUUAACAUUUAUAUUUUUAAUUUUAUUCAACUUUAUUCAACAAAAAUUUAUAAUGUAUUUCAAUGGGGAGACCCUUCAAAUUCUCAUUCAACUUACUCAUUUUUAAACUCUUACUACUUCCACAUACAUUGACAUAGAGCCACCAUUCAAACUUUAAAACGAAGACAAGACAUUCAACUAUUCAACUUGUAUUUAUCUUUUCAAUAUCUAUUAUACUUUUUCUUCAGUUCCAGUUUAAGUUUCAUGAUGUUUUUUCACCCAUUUCAAAAUUUAUAAUGGGUGUGUAUGGGACGGAAUGUUGGGGCUAGAGUGAGACAGCUCAACUGCUAGAGUGAGAGGAGCAAAAAAAUUAAUCUUAAAAUCUUUUUUAAAACUGCUGCUGUGUCUGCAGCGUUUGCUCUACAGGUAUGAUUUUACCCUCAAAACGUAGCCAUCGCUGUCCUCUUUCAUCCAAUGUGUUUACUAUUGUACUAGGUGUUAUGGUUCUUUCAUAAAUGUCACCAAUGCACAGCCUCCUCCCUCCAACUCUUCCAUAGACUCUAAUGUUAAAAUGGCUCAGAAGGUUCGUUUGAAAAUCAGAAGAGCAUGGUGUCUUUCCACUGUCACCACGUCCAUAUAAUAAACUCCACAGACAUGAAAACUGAGAAUUUGGUAGACUAGACAUUGCUGUCGCUCACAGUGAAAGAAUUUUGUCAAUACGACUUUUACUUUUCAUUUGGGAACGAUUUGUUUCGCCCUGACUUUUCUGUUCAUUUUAAGCAGCAAAAGUGAGGCGCAUGUCUGUGUACGUGUGUAUGGAGCCACUGGGUGCGGUCACUAUAGCAACCAGGCUCACACCUGCCUGCUUAACGAGCUCUCUCUCUCACUCUGCCAAGAUUCAUCUUAAGCACUUCUCUUUCAACUGCUGCUGUGUCCACAGUGUUAAAGCCAUCAUUUUACCCUCAAAACGUCGCCAUCGUUGUUCUUUUUCCAACAUCUUGUCUUUCAAAGCUCAGAGAUGUAAACUUUUUAAACUGUGUGGGUCCAAGUGGAGGGAUCACAUUUUAGUCAUUCAGUGAUUCAAAGAAUAUGACCUUUUAAUAUUCAUUCAGAUGUUUUCUGACUCUAAAUGUUCUUUUCUCAUUUCUUAGGGUUUUCUAAUUUACAUUUAAAACAUUUUCAGUUUUUUUCCAACUUCUUCUUCUGUGUAACCUUCAGCUUUUAGCAGUUCAAGCACCUUUGUUUUCAGGUUAAAUUCGGUUUUUUUUUUUGGUUUUUUUUUAUCUCAUUCAAUAUUUUUAACUCAAAAUUCAGCAAUUAAUUCAUUUCAGUGCAUACAUUCAGAUUCAAGCAUUCACACUGCAGUUUCUUCAGAAAAUGCACUUUCUAGUUAGUGUGAAUGCUUGAAAAGCAUUCACAGUAUUGUUCUUCUAAUCUUUAUUAUUCUAUUUUAUUAUUAUCUAUUCCGUACGUUUUUUGAAAGCCUACUCCUUCAAAACCGUUCAACUUAGAAAAACCAUUCAAACACCAUUAGAUUCCUAUUCUUUUGGACACUGUUGCUUGUAUUUUUCUCAUUUUUAACAUUUAUAUUUUUAAUUUUAUUCAACUUUAUUCAACAAAAAUUUCCCAUGUAUUUCAAUGGGGAGACCCUUCAAAUUCUCAUUCAACUUACUCAUUUUUAAACUCUUACUACUUCAACAUACGUUCACAUAGAGCCACCAUUCAAACUUUAAAACGAAGACAAGACAUUCAACUAUUCAACUUGUAUUUAUCUUUUCAAUAUCUAUUAUACUUUUUCUUCAGUUCCAGUUUAAGUUUCAUGAUGUUUUUUCACCCGUUUCAGAGUUUAUAAUGGGUGUGUAUGGGACGGAAUGUUGGGGCUAGAGUGAGGCAGCUCAACUGCUAGAGUGAGAGGAGCAAAAAAAAUAAUCUUAAAAUCUUUUUUAAAACUGCUGCUGUGUCCGCAGCGUUUGCUCUACAGGUAUGAUUUUACCCUCAAAACGUAGCCAUGGCUGUCCUCUUUCAUCCAAUGUGUUUACUAUUGUCCUAGGUGUUAUGGUUCUUUCGUAAAUGUCACCAAUGCACAGCCUCCUCCCUCCAACUCUUCCAUAGACUCUAAUGUUAAAAUGGCUCAGAAGGUUCGUUUGAAAAUCAGAAGAGCACGGUGUCUUUACACUGUCACCACGUCCAUAUAAUAAACUCCACAGGCAUGAAAACUGAGAAUUCAGUAGACUAGACAUUGCUGUCACUCACGGUGAAAGAAUUUUGUCAAUAUGACUUUUACUUUUCAUUUGGGAACGAUUUGUUUCGGCCUGACUUUUCUGUUCAUUUUAAGCAGCAAAAGUGAGGUGCAUGUCUGUGUCCGUGUGUAUGGAGCCAUUGGGUGCGGUCACUAUAGCAACCAGGCUCACACCUGCCUGCUUAACGAGCUCUCUCUCUCACUCUGCCAAGAUUCAUCUGAAACACUUCUCUUUCAACUGCUGCUGUGUCCACAGUGUUAAAGCCAUCAUUUUACCCUCAAAACGUCGCCAUCGUUGUUCUCUUUCCAACAUCUUGUCUUUCAAAGCUCAGAGAUGUAAACUUUUUAAACUGUGUGGAUCCAAGUGGAGGGAUCACAUUUUAGUCAUUCAGUGAUUCAAAGAAUAUGACCUUUUAAUAUUCUUUCAGAUGUUUUCUGACUCUAAAUGUUCUUUUCUCAUUUCUUAGGUUUUUCUAAUUUACAAUUAAAACAUUUUCAGCUUUUUUCCAACUUCUUCUUCUGUGUAACCUUCAGCCUUUAGCAGUUCAGCACCUUUGUUUUCAGGUUAAAUUCGUUUUUUUUUGUUGUUUUUUUUAAAUCUCAUUCAAUAUUUUUAACUCAAAAUUCAGCAAUUAAUUCAUUUCAGUCCAUACAUUCAGAUUCAAGCAUUCACACUGCAGUUUCUUCAGAAAAUGCACUUUCUAGUUCCA
Astatotilapia calliptera (eastern happy) is the source of this 4169-nucleotide long non-coding RNA. The record is from Ensembl. Lineage: Eukaryota; Metazoa; Chordata; Actinopteri; Cichliformes; Cichlidae.